GGGGCUAUAGCUCAGUUGGUAGAGCGCGUCGUUCGCAAUGACGAGGCCCGGGGUUCGAUUCCCCGUAGCUCCACCA
This 76-nucleotide transfer RNA is filed under the name Corynebacterium falsenii. RNAcentral describes it as "tRNA-Ala(cgc)". It matches the Rfam family "tRNA". From Rfam's summary of the family: Transfer RNA (tRNA) molecules are approximately 80 nucleotides in length. Their secondary structure includes four short double-helical elements and three loops (D, anti-codon, and T loops). RNAcentral also lists the same sequence under 1 other name. The record is from RNAcentral. Lineage: Bacteria; Bacillati; Actinomycetota; Actinomycetes; Mycobacteriales; Corynebacteriaceae.